CCCAACCUUGAUGGUACAUGAGGAAGCACAUGAACUACAGUGAACUUGAACCUGAGAUGGGCACGAUGCCCAGGGGCUCUGACUUCUCAGAGUCUGAAUCCUGACACCAGGAGAUUUAGACCAUUACAGACAACACGUGGUCAACAUGCAGAGAAGAGCCGAUUGUGAGAUGCUCAAUCCUGGUUGAUACAUCUACAAUACAACCCUUAUACUUAAGGCUCAGAGACUGUCUUAGACCUUGAAAGAAAAGCAUCAUGUUAAAGGCACUCACAGAGAAAAGAAGGGUUAUCUGCAAAGAAUAAUGAUUGUGGAACCAUAUUAGGCUUUGAGAGACCACCGCCAUCUUCAAGAAAUACCAACAUCAUGGAACACAAGGUAGUGUAUCAGAAUUCUUUCCAUGUAAUGAGCUUUGUUCUGAAAAUGCACCGUCUAGAAGCUUUAUGACCCAGAAAAGAUACUGGCAGAAGACAGGAGUCUCAUGGUUAGGGACAAAGAACUUUCUCACUCAAGCAAAAGCAUCAGCCAACACUUCUCAUGCUUGGCAUUGGUUGCACAUGAACCCCAGGUCUCAUGGAGAUCACAUCAUAGAUGGCCGCACACAUAGUAGGUCUCUACAGAGUAAGAUUGACAAGCUUGGGAAUUCACCACUUUUAUGGUAAUAGAGAGCAAGACUGAAUGCCUUAUCUGGAAAAAUAUUACCCCAGGUCUCAUGAUUUUUUUUCAUGGAAAAUAAAAA
Molecule: long non-coding RNA, 736 nt
Organism: Peromyscus eremicus (cactus mouse)
Lineage: Eukaryota; Metazoa; Chordata; Mammalia; Rodentia; Cricetidae
Exons: 5
Source: RefSeq, a predicted model, not a curated record